CUUGGUCCCUCUUGUCAAUGUCUUGGGGAAACACUGCGUCACGCUUCGCCGUUGCUGUUGCUGUUUCAAGGUCAAGUACAACUUAGGCGAGAAAGACGCUGAUGUCAAGCGAGGAGAGUGGAAAUACAGCCUGGUUUUCACAUCGUCAGGGCAAGGACAUUCUGUCCUUGGUCAGAGGCAAUUUCUGAAUUCGAAAAUUAUCUUGGCGAGAGCUGACAAACGGGGCGUGGUUGGUGUUGCCGUGGACGAACAGCACUGCAUAAUGUCUUGGGGCGGAGGGUUCAGAACCGGGGUCAAGACUCUCACACAGCUACUGAGGAGAAAAGGAUAGACAUCCUGUCAUCACUGUGUUAUGGAUUCCAACACAAUCACUGUUUCAGAGUCAUCCAAUCGGCCUAAUUGUACCUUCAAGUUAUGACAUUGAAAAGGAGUUCGGAUAGAUGCUUGUAGCAGAAAAAAAAUUGUCAAAAUAUUUCAGAGGGUCUGUCACAAGAAGAGACUUGUUGUGACUUAAGUGGAGAUUCUUCAACAUUACCUUAGAAUGAAUCACUGGACCAAGUCUCUUACAUCAGAACUCUAAGACGAACUAUUAAAAUUUAUAGCAAUUCGUCGUCUACAAAUCAGCUAUAUAUCAUGUU
Long non-coding RNA from Branchiostoma floridae (Florida lancelet), 638 nucleotides. RefSeq lists it as uncharacterized. Lineage: Eukaryota; Metazoa; Chordata; Leptocardii; Amphioxiformes; Branchiostomatidae. The transcript has 2 exons. The record is from RefSeq and is a predicted model, not a curated record.